Long non-coding RNA from Chroicocephalus ridibundus (black-headed gull), 683 nucleotides. RefSeq lists it as uncharacterized. NCBI's taxonomy places the organism in Eukaryota, Metazoa, Chordata, Aves, Charadriiformes, Laridae. The transcript is spliced from 4 exons. The record is from RefSeq and is a predicted model, not a curated record.
UUCUUUGUUUCUCUCUUUGCUUCUGUCUGUAGGCGAGUUCUGCUGGCUACUGCUGUCGCUGCUGCCAGAGCGGCGGCGCCUCCUGCCUUUUAUCAGGACGCUGCGAUACACCUGCGGGGACACAGGUGGAGUUUGGACAUGACUGCUGUCUUUCGAGGAGAAUGGCUCCCAGGCUGCGUUCAUUUAACAUUAAACAUUACUUUUAGAAGCCGUCCAUUCCUAAUAUGGAACUAAGGCAUUUAAUAAACCGGAUACUGCCCCGUUGAACACGAACUGUACUCACAUGGCUCUUGGCUUGUGGUUGUGUCCGAUAGCAUCGCAUGAUGUUCUGAAAUGAUCUGUCCUCCUUAGUAACCUAAGAGGAGAUGAACAGAAAAGAGCCUUAAAGCAAACGGACACCUUUAAGUACCUGCCAGCCAAGUACAUAAUCUACUUCAAAGCUUGUGGUGGCUGUGGUGACAGUCUGCUCCUUUGCUAGCGAGAAGUUGCCUGAAUAAGAAAACUACUCUUCAGGGAUAGCCAUGAACAGAGCCGAGCACGCUGCCUUCUGGAUUUUCCCUGUACUGAUCAGCUUGUAGGGUCGAACUGAAAUUUGGACGUGAAAAGCCUCUCCUUCAGGGUAUAACAUCCGCUCUCUACAAUCCUGUCUGAUUAGGAAAGCUACGUAAGACAUGAAAAGAAGU